ACAGGAACAUCACUUCUCACAGAUGGAGGGUCUAGAGAGGAAUGAGUGGGGGAUGUGGUCAGACUCAAAGAUUUGGACAGGUGGAGUCAUACUGGAGCCCUACACAAAAGACCUCCAAGGGAGCGAAGAGAUCAAAGACAAUAUAGAAGGAAGAGAAAACAGAAAAUCCAAGCAGUGGAGACACAAGAACAGAAUGACAAAGAAAAUGUAUUCCAUGAGACACAGUGUCUCUUAGUGGCCUCUGACAAGAAACACUGCCUCCAGGAAUGAAGGUAUUGGAGAAUGACAAGAGUGGUGGGAGAAAAUCAACUGUUUUGACCUAAGAUUCCAGGCAAAGAAGGUUGCUGAGGUAAUACAAUGAGAUAAUGACCUGCAUUGGAGUAUGGAAGGACAAGAUUGACUACCACCUACAUCAAUAAUUAUAUAUGCAUUGGUUUCCACAGUUGGAUCCAGAAUAAAUCAUUUACAACAUUGCCUUGGAAUAACAUUGUCUUCAGAAGCAAGCAAGUACCUUAGGGGCUAACCAAAGAUGAGAAAAGGAAUUCCUACCCAACCAUCAAUAUUUGGGUGAGCUGGAGCAGCACUGUAUUCCAUAAAAGCCCACGACAGCAUACUGUUUUGACCAUUGGAAGGCAGAUUUCCUCAAUAUACAUUGUGAUCAUUGCUUUUGUCGUUUCCUCAAAGUGCUUUCCUCUUCCUAAUAACUUUACCUCCAUCUGCAUGGGGUUAGCUUGAGCCAGCUUUCUAUCAUCCAGGACCCAGUCUCCUUCAGACACUGAGGCAGUUGGACAAUAGCAUUGUCUCCGUUAGAUCUGAAAAAGAUGUAGAGCUGGAUGUCAUCAGCAUAUUGAUGACACUGUAAUCCAUGAUGAUGCAUGACCUCCCCUAACAGUCUUACUCUCUUGCAGUGUCAUAACAGACAGGGAUGUUUGAACCCCUGGGACUUCACAGGAGAGAGCCUAUGGGGAUGUAUAGUUGCCUAUUGUCAUCCUCUGAGACUUAUCCAAAGAAUGAGCAGAAAGAUAUUGCUACAUUCCAAUGUAAAGGCAUGCCUACU
This is a non-coding RNA of Chrysemys picta bellii (western painted turtle), 1057 nucleotides long. The record is from RefSeq and is a predicted model, not a curated record. NCBI's taxonomy places the organism in Eukaryota, Metazoa, Chordata, Testudines, Emydidae.